UNGAUCCUGGCUCAGGACGAACGCUGGCGGCAUGCCUAAUACAUGCAAGUCGAGCGAAUGAUGAAGAAGCUUGCUNCUUCUGAUUCAGCGGCGGACGGGUGAGUAACACGUGGGCAACCUGCCCUGUAGAUUGGGAUAACUCCGGGAAACCGGNGCUNAUACCGAAUAAUCCAUUUCCUCUCAUGGGGAAAUGUUAAAAGACGGUUUCGGCUNUCACUNCNGGAUNGGCCCGCGGCGCNUUAGCUNGUUGGUGAGGUAACGGCUCACCAAGGCGACGAUGCGUAGCCGACCUGAGAGGGUNAUCGGCCACACUGGGACUGAGACACGGCCCAGACUCCUACGGGAGGCAGCAGUAGGGAAUCUUCCACAAUGGACGAAAGUCUGAUGGAGCAAUGCCGCGUGAGUGAAGAAGGUUUUCGGAUCGUAAAACUCUGUUGUGAGGGAAGAACAAGUACGAGAGUNACUNCUNGUACCUUGACGGUACCUCAUUAGAAAGCCACGGCUAACUACGUGCCAGCAGCCGCGGUNAUACGUAGGUGGCAAGCGUUGUCCGGAAUUAUUGGGCGUNAAGCGCGCGCAGGCGGUCCUUUAAGUCUNAUGUGAAAUCCCACGGCUCAACCGUGGAAGGUCAUUGGAAACUGGGGGACUUGAGUACAGAAGAGGAAAGUGGAAUUCCAAGUGUAGCGGUNAAAUGCGUAGAGAUUUGGAGGAACACCAGUGGCGAAGGCGACUNUCUNGUCUGUAACUGACGCUGAGGCGCGNAAGCGUGGGGAGCAAACAGGAUUAGAUACCCUNGUAGUCCACGCCGUAAACGAUGAGUGCUNAGUGUUAGGGGGUUUCCGCCCCUUAGUGCUGCANUAACGCAUUAAGCACUCCGCCUNGGGAGUACGGUCGCAAGACUNAAACUCAAAGGAAUUGACGGGGGCCGCACAAGCGGUNGAGCAUGUNGUUUAAUUCGAAGNAACGCGAAGAACCUNACCAGGUCUUGACAUCCCACUGACCGGUCUAGAGAUAGAUCUUUCUUCGGGGNCAGUGGUGACAGGUGGNGCAUGGUUGUCGUCAGCUNGUGUCGUGAGAUGUUGGGUUAAGUCCCGCAACGAGCGCAACCCUUGAUCUUAGUUGCCAGCAUUCAGUUGGGCACUCUAAGGUGACUGCCGGUGAUAAACCGGAGGAAGGUGGGGAUGACGUNAAAUCAUCAUGCCCCUUAUGACCUNGGCUACACACGUGCUACAAUGGACGGUACAGAGGGUCGCAACCCCGCGAGGGUGAGCUAAUCCCAUAAAACCGUNCUCAGUUCGGAUUGUAGGCUGCAACUCGCCUNCAUGAAGCCGGAAUCGCUNGUAAUCGUGGAUCAGCAUGCCACGGUGAAUACGUUCCCGGGCCUNGUACACACCGCNCGUCACACCACGAGAGUUUGUAACACNC
RNAcentral lists this ribosomal RNA (1425 nucleotides) under Psychrobacillus insolitus. RNAcentral describes it as "16S ribosomal RNA". It matches the Rfam family "Bacterial small subunit ribosomal RNA". Lineage: Bacteria; Bacillati; Bacillota; Bacilli; Caryophanales; Bacillaceae. The record is from RNAcentral.